GGUGGUUCUCAGGUGACACCCGAAUCGGUCUCCCUCCUCUCUGGUUCCGGGUGUGUCACCUGAGAACCGCA
This is a non-coding RNA of Myotis brandtii (Brandt's bat), 71 nucleotides long. The record is from Rfam. Lineage: Eukaryota; Metazoa; Chordata; Mammalia; Chiroptera; Vespertilionidae.